CCUACGGGUGGCAGCGGUGAGGAAUAUUGGUCAAUGGACGAGAGUCUGAACCAGCCAAGUAGCGUGAAGGAUGCCUGCCCUGUGGGUUGUAAACUUCUUUUAUAUGGGAAUAAACUGUAACACGUGUGGGAGUUUGUAUGUACCAUAUGAAUAAGGAUCGGCUAACUCCGUGCCAGCAGCCGCGGUAAUACGGAGGAUCCGAGCGUUAUCUGGAUUUAUUGGGUUUAAAGGGAGCGUAGGUGGAUUGUUAAGUCAGUUGUGAAAGUUUGCGGCACAACCGUAAAAUUGCAGUUGAAACUGGCAGUCUUGAUUACAGUAGAGGUGGGCGGAAUGCGUGGGGUAGCGGUGAAAUGCUUAGAUAUCACGAAGAACUCCGAUUGCGAAGGCAGCUCACUGGACUGCAACUGACACUGAGGCUCGAAAGUGUGGGUAUCAAACAGGAUUAGAUACCCCUGUAGUC
RNAcentral lists this ribosomal RNA (460 nucleotides) under uncultured bacterium. RNAcentral describes it as "partial 16S ribosomal RNA". It matches the Rfam family "Bacterial small subunit ribosomal RNA", at positions 338 to 795 of the family's 1533-position model. The record is from RNAcentral.